RNAcentral lists this small nucleolar RNA (58 nucleotides) under Ailuropoda melanoleuca (giant panda). Its description in RNAcentral is "Small nucleolar RNA U3 (ENSAMEG00000026601.1)". It matches the Rfam family "Small nucleolar RNA U3", at positions 160 to 219 of the family's 219-position model. From Rfam's summary of the family: Small nucleolar RNAs (snoRNAs) are involved in the processing and modification of rRNA in the nucleolus. There are two main classes of snoRNAs: the box C/D class, and the box H/ACA class. U3 snoRNA is a member of the box C/D class. The record is from Rfam by way of RNAcentral. Lineage: Eukaryota; Metazoa; Chordata; Mammalia; Carnivora; Ursidae.
AUGAUCGUUCUUCUUCUCCUUUGGAGAAGUGAGAGGGAGAGAACGCAGUCUGAGUGGU